Small nuclear RNA from Ictidomys tridecemlineatus (thirteen-lined ground squirrel), 178 nucleotides. Its record names the gene U2. It matches the Rfam family "U2 spliceosomal RNA". Rfam says of the family: U2 is a small nuclear RNA (snRNA) component of the spliceosome (involved in pre-mRNA splicing). Complementary binding between U2 snRNA (in an area lying towards the 5' end but 3' to hairpin I) and the branchpoint sequence (BPS) of the intron results the bulging out of an unpaired adenosine, on the BPS, which initiates a nucleophilic attack at the intronic 5' splice site, thus starting the first of two transesterification reactions that mediate splicing. Lineage: Eukaryota; Metazoa; Chordata; Mammalia; Rodentia; Sciuridae. The record is from Ensembl.
AUCACUUCCUGGCCUUUGGGCUAAGCGUCUGAGUUUUAUCCGUUUAAUAUCUAAAAUGUCCUCUUUCCAAGGACAAUGUGGUAAGUGGAUUUUUGGAGCAGGGAGAUGGACUGGGAACUUGCUGUGUCCACUCCACCUCAUACUGGUAUUACAGUCCUCCAGGAAUGGGGUGCCCCUU